Molecule: long non-coding RNA, 603 nt
Filed under: Linum usitatissimum (flax)
Lineage: Eukaryota; Viridiplantae; Streptophyta; Magnoliopsida; Malpighiales; Linaceae
Description: long non-coding RNA (LUSI_LNC005616)
Source: RNAcentral
UCCAUACUACUCUUUACUCUUUAGUACCAGCUUACAAAUUUUAUUUUUUAUUUAGAUAAAAAAAGAAUCGACACGAAUGAGUUGGAUUUUCUAGACUAAAGAGUUCGGUUUGAAAGGAUCUAAGGAUCCCGAGUGAGAAUGAAACAUUUUUAUUGAAUGAUAAAUAUUUUUUUAAGAAGCUCCAUGGUAGGAGUAUCAUAAAUAAUAAAUUUAAAUAAAGCGAAAACAAAUUAAAUAAAAAGGUGGUAGGAAAAAGGAAAAAAAAAAUUAGAUAAGAUUAAAUCGGAAAUUAUGUAGAUAAUCAAAUUGAAAUGUAAAUUACACGAUUUGGCAAUUAGCCUGAUUUACAGCGCGUCGUGCGUUGUAGGGUUCCUCCAACGAUUACUUUCUAACGGCCAUUUUCUUCAGAAAAAACAGGAAUCGCUCGGGCGAAGGUGGGGUUAAACUCAUGUUUACUCUCCGAGAGUGCCUACUGGCAUACUCAAUUCCGAUGUUUGAGUACAAGUGAUGCCCCCAUCAGAGAAUGAAGGCGAACUCAACCAUUAUCUAUUGAGAAAGACAGAGAGGAGAAGCAGAGUAAGAAGAUAGAGUGAAGAAAAGGAU